Long non-coding RNA from Microplitis mediator, 326 nucleotides. RefSeq lists it as uncharacterized. NCBI's taxonomy places the organism in Eukaryota, Metazoa, Arthropoda, Insecta, Hymenoptera, Braconidae. The record is from RefSeq and is a predicted model, not a curated record. The transcript has 3 exons.
CAUUUGUUACCAAUCGGUACCCAGAAGCUUCUAAAGAUUCAACGGAACAGUAUUGCUUCAAGAUAUAAAAUAAAAAAAUGUCAAAAAUAAUUUUAUUGUUAUCAAUUUUCGUAUCGGUUGUUAUCUAUUAUGGUGUGUAUGCAGAAUGUCCUGGCGGUUGGUGCCAUCCAUCACAAGGACAUGGCUGCUGUGAAGGAAAUCGAUGCACAACUCACUUGUUUCAAGGUAAAUGUAUAACUAUACAAGAAUAUGCAGACAGAAGAACAAGUCAUAUCGCAACAUAAUUAUAAAAACACAAUGGAGGUUUAUAAAUGUAUUUUAUGAGU